RNAcentral lists this transfer RNA (77 nucleotides) under Acidimicrobiales bacterium. RNAcentral's name for it is "tRNA-His". It matches the Rfam family "tRNA". Rfam says of the family: Transfer RNA (tRNA) molecules are approximately 80 nucleotides in length. Their secondary structure includes four short double-helical elements and three loops (D, anti-codon, and T loops). Lineage: Bacteria; Bacillati; Actinomycetota; Acidimicrobiia; Acidimicrobiales. RNAcentral also lists the same sequence under 1 other name. The record is from RNAcentral.
GUGGCUGUAGCUCAGUUAGGUAGAGCACCGCGUUGUGGUCGCGGCGGUCGCGGGUUCAAAUCCCGUCAGCCACCCCA